AAAAUAAUGAUAUUAUUAAUCAAUGUUACAUAAAUCAGUCAUAAGUGAUGUUGGUAAUAAAACAAUAAUUAAUAUUAAGAUUAAUAACUAAUAUUAUUGAAAAAUGACAUUAAUACAGAUAAUUUUAAUCAUGCAUAAUUGUACAUUUAAAAUAAUCAUUAAUGAUUAAUAACGUUAUACUAUUAAUUAAUAUUACCAUUGAUAAUUAUUAAGACUGAUGUUUAACAAUUAAUAAUAUUAUUAAGAUUGAUGCUUAAUAAUUAAUCGUAUUAUUUCUCCUAAUACCGCAGGGGGUGUACACCUACCCGUGAUAUUGUUCCUAAUAUCCAGGGAUGGAGAGCAUGAUAUUAGUUUUAAUAUCUCAGUAGGUGUACACUCACCCUGUGACACUGAUCCUAAUAUCCAGGGAGUAGAGUAUGACAUGACUCCCAACAUAGCAAUGAAUGUACAGCCACCCGGUGAUAUUGCUCCUAGUAUUCACGGAAGAAGCGUAGGAUAUUACUUCCAAAAUCGCAGGGAGUGUACACCUCUUCUGUGAUAUUGUUCCUGGUAUCCCGAGGGGGAGAGGAUGAUAAUAAUUCCAGUAUCGCAGGCUGUGAUCACCCACCCUGUGAUAUUGUUAUUAACAUCCUGAAAGGGAGAGGAUGAUAUUACUCCCCGUAAUAGAUAGAUAUUACUCCCCAUAACAGAGCAGGAGGUGUACACCCACCCUGUGAUAUUGUUCCUAAUAUUCAGAGGCCGAGAGGUCGAUAUUACUCCCAAUAUGGCAGGAAGUGUACACCCCCGUGUGAGAUGGUCCUUAAUAAUAUUCCAAGGCGGAGGGGGAGAUAUUACUCCCAAAAUCGCAGAAAGUGUACACCCCCAGGGAUAUUGUUCUCAUGAUCCUGGAGGGAAGAGGAUGAUAUCACUUUAAAUAUCACAGAAGGUGUGCACGCCCCCACUGAUAUCGGUUCUAAUUUCCACGUGGGAGAGGAGGAUGUGACGCCCAAUCACACCUGCAGUAGAAACACAGCUGUGAUACUGUUCUUAAUAUUCAGGGAGGAAGACGAUGAUAUUACUCCCAAAACAGACGGCUGUACACCCUCUGCACACCGAGGGUCUACCCCCAUCUGUGAAAUAGUUUAUAAUUUCCAGAGGGGGAGAUGAUAUCACUCCGAAUAUCGUAAACAGGCUGCUUCGGUAGAUUGCAAAUGACCUGCUUUCUUUCGGAUCCCGGGCUGCUUUCGGACACCUGUCGAAUAGUAAAUCCCAAGUAAGGUACCUGCGGUCGUCGGCAGAUCUGAAUUUUCUUCUUGGACACCUAAUACCCACAGUCCUCCAGAGACCGAGAGGUUGAUGUCACUCCCAAUAUCGGAGGAAGUAUACACCCCCGUGUGAGAUGGUCCUUAAUAAUAUUCCACGGCGGAGGGGGUGAUAUGACUACAUACAUGGCAGAAAGUGGAAACCUCCCAGGGAUAUUGUUCCCACGAUCCUGGAGGGAAGAAGAUGAUGUUACUUUCAAUAUGACAGAAGGUGGAUGAAGUGGUGGACUGCCCCUCCACACCUGUGGACACGCCCCCACUGAUAUUCCUUCUAAUUGCAGCGUGGGAGAGGAGGAUAUGACACGCGAUAUCGCAGGGAGUAGAAACACCCCUGUGAUACUGUUCUUAAUAUUCAGGGAGGAAGAGGAUGAUAUUACUCCCAAUACAGACGGGUGUACACCCUCUGUACACCGAGGGUGUACACCUGUCUGUGAAAGAGUUCGUAAUCUCCAGAGGGGGAGAUGAUAUUACUCACAAUAUGAUGGACACGCCCCCACUGAUAUUGUUUUUAAUGCAGCGUGGGAGGGGAGGAUAUGACACGCGAUAUCGCAGCUGAGUGCCACGUGCUGACGUCACUAAGAUCAAUACAGCAAACUCUGAAAGAUGGACAGAGAGACAGGAGAUGGUCCUUUAUAAUGCAGUGUGAUCUGUGCUGCAAUAGAGUUUUGGAAGCUAGAAGUUCAAAACGAGGUGUUGGCAGCACCAUGCUCUCUCUGAAGAUGCUAGGAAGAAUCUGCUCCAUGCCUUUCCAUUCGCUUCUGGGGUUUCCUGCAAGCCCUGACAUUCCUUGGCUUGUAGAUGCAUCACCCCAGUUUCCGCCCCCAUCAUCACAUGGCCUCCUCUCUGUGUGUGCCUCUGCGUUCCCUCUAUUCUUCUUCUAAGGACACCGACACCAGUCAUAGUGGAUUAAGUGUCCACUCCUAACCAAUUACAUCUGCAACAACCCUAUUUCCAAAUAAAGUCACAUUC
RNAcentral lists this long non-coding RNA (2270 nucleotides) under Homo sapiens (human). RNAcentral describes it as "HSALNT0352074". The record is from RNAcentral. Lineage: Eukaryota; Metazoa; Chordata; Mammalia; Primates; Hominidae.